This 59-nucleotide transfer RNA is filed under the name Loxodonta africana (African savanna elephant). It matches the Rfam family "tRNA". From Rfam's summary of the family: Transfer RNA (tRNA) molecules are approximately 80 nucleotides in length. Lineage: Eukaryota; Metazoa; Chordata; Mammalia; Proboscidea; Elephantidae. The record is from Rfam by way of RNAcentral.
AGUGGUUAAGUGCUUGGCUGCUAACCAAAAGGUUGGUGGUUCAAACCCGCCAGCCACUC